RNAcentral lists this ribosomal RNA (492 nucleotides) under uncultured bacterium. Its description in RNAcentral is "partial 16S ribosomal RNA". It matches the Rfam family "Bacterial small subunit ribosomal RNA", at positions 29 to 507 of the family's 1533-position model. The record is from RNAcentral.
AGUGAACGCUGGCGGUAGGCCUAACACAUGCGAGUCGAACGGCAGCACAGUAACAAAUUGAUAAAAAGAAAGGAGAAUAGAGGAAGGGAGAGAAAAAAAAAGACAAAUACUUAUUCGUGGGGGAUCAAGUAGGGAAACUUACGCUAAUACCGCAUACGACCUACGGGUGAAAGCAGGGGAUCUUCGGACCUUGCGCGAUUGAAUGAGCCGAUGUCGGAUUAGCUAGUUGGCGGGGUAAAGGCCCACCAAGGCGACGAUCCGUAGCUGGUCUGAGAGGAUGAUCAGCCACACUGGAACUGAGACACGGUCCAGACUCCUACGGGAGGCAGCAGUGGGGAAUAUUGGACAAUGGGCGCAAGCCUGAUCCAGCCAUACCGCGUGGGUGAAGAAGGCCUUCGGGUUGUAAAGCCCUUUUGUUGGGAAUGAAAAGCAGCAGGUUAAUACCCCGCUGUUCUGACGGUACCCAAAGAAUAAGCACCGGCUAACUUCGUG